GUCUACGGCCAUACCACCCUGAACAAGCCUAAUCUCGUCUGAUCUCGGAAGCUAAGCGGGGUUGGGCCUGGUUAGUACUUGGAUGGGAGACCACCUAGGAAGACCAGGUGCUGUAGGCG
RNAcentral lists this ribosomal RNA (119 nucleotides) under Pteropus alecto (black flying fox). Lineage: Eukaryota; Metazoa; Chordata; Mammalia; Chiroptera; Pteropodidae. The record is from RNAcentral.